This 292-nucleotide ribosomal RNA is filed under the name uncultured bacterium. RNAcentral describes it as "partial 16S ribosomal RNA". It matches the Rfam family "Bacterial small subunit ribosomal RNA", at positions 505 to 796 of the family's 1533-position model. The record is from RNAcentral.
GUGCCAGCCGCCGCGGUAAUACGGAGGGUGCGAGCGUUGUUCGGAAUCACUGGGCGUAAAGGGCGUGUAGGCGGUCCGUUAAGUCUGAUGUGAAAGCCCGGGGCUCACCCCCGGAAGUGCAUUGGAAACUGGCGGACUCGAGUCCCGGAGAGGAGGGUGGAAUUCCUGGUGUAGCGGUGAAAUGCGUAGAUAUCAGGAGGAACACCGGUGGCGAAGGCGGCCCUCUGGACGGUGACUGACGCUAAUACGCGAAAGCGUGGGGAGCAAACAGGAUUAGAUACCCGGGUAGUCC